CCUACGGGAGGCAGCAGUGAGGAAUAUUGGACAAUGGGCGCGAGCCUGAACCAGCCAAGUCGCGUGAGGGAAGACGGCCCUACGGGUUGUAAACCUCUUUUGCCGGGGAGCAACGGGCGCCACGUGUGGCGCCACUGAUAGUACCCGUAGAAAAAGCAUCGGCUAACUCCUUGCCAGCAGCCGCGGUAAUACGGAGGAUGCGGGCGUUAUCCGGUUUUAUUGGGUUUAAAGGGUGCGGAGGCGGAGCGGUAAGUCAGUGGUAAAAUUGAGGGGCUCAACCCCUUCCCGCCAUUGAAACUGGCGCUCUUGAGUGGAAGAGAAGGAGGCGGAAUGCGUGGUGUAGCGGUGAAAUGCAUAGAUAUCACGAAGAACCCCGAUUGCGAAGGCAGCAUGCCGGAUUCCGACUGACGCUGAAGCACGAAAGCGUGGGGAUCGAACAGGAUUAGAUACCCGAGUAGUC
RNAcentral lists this ribosomal RNA (460 nucleotides) under uncultured bacterium. RNAcentral's name for it is "partial 16S ribosomal RNA". It matches the Rfam family "Bacterial small subunit ribosomal RNA", at positions 338 to 795 of the family's 1533-position model. The record is from RNAcentral.